Molecule: long non-coding RNA, 89 nt
Organism: Neopelma chrysocephalum (saffron-crested tyrant-manakin)
Lineage: Eukaryota; Metazoa; Chordata; Aves; Passeriformes; Pipridae
Exons: 3
Source: RefSeq, a predicted model, not a curated record
CCAAGGCAGCCAGUCCUAUGGCCAGGGCUACAGACCUCAAGGUGGCAGCUCCUAUGGCCUGGGUGGGCCAAGUUUCUCGGGCAGCAGCA